This 102-nucleotide microRNA precursor is filed under the name Marmota monax (woodchuck). The record is from RNAcentral. Lineage: Eukaryota; Metazoa; Chordata; Mammalia; Rodentia; Sciuridae.
AGGGGAAUAGCUGGGUCAAAUGGCGGUUCCAUUCCUAGCUUUCCAAGGAAACUCCAUACUGUUUUCCAUAUUGGCUGACCAAUUUGCAGUCCCACCAGCAAU